RNAcentral lists this long non-coding RNA (750 nucleotides) under Ananas comosus (pineapple). RNAcentral describes it as "long non-coding RNA (ACOM_LNC032502)". Lineage: Eukaryota; Viridiplantae; Streptophyta; Magnoliopsida; Poales; Bromeliaceae. The record is from RNAcentral.
UAAAGACUUAGUUACUUAAGUUGUUAAGAUUUAGAGUGCGUUUGAUUCGCGCUAUCUUUUAAAGAUUCCAAAUAAUCCAAUGGAAAUAAAAAAAUAUGACGGUGUUUGGCUAAAUGCACUAAGUAAUUUAGUUGGUAAUAUUGGAUUCACUUGGGAAUAAGAUUUACCCAAAGUACUAAUCUCAUUCCCUUGAGGGAGGGUGGGUAUCCUCAUAUUAGUGGAUUGGGGUAAUCACAAUAUGUCUAAUCUAUUUCCUUCUUCCUACCCGCAGGCUAAUUGAUAUUAUUUUUCUUUACACUCUAACCUUAUAUCUCUCUCUAAACUUAUUUUUCUCCCUAAGAUUAAACUUUUUUUUUCUCUCUCUAAACUAAGCUUUCUCUCUCUCUCUCUCUUUCUAAAAUUUCAACUCUCUCACUCCCUCUAAUUUCGACUAUAUUUUUCUUUCUAUUUUUUUAAUUAUGCUCUCUCUCUCUAACUUAUACUCUCUCUCCCUUUUUUCUAAAAAGAUGUUGAAACUUUUGGUAACAUUAUCUAAAAUUAAUUAAAUAAAUAAAUAAAUAAAUUGUAUAUUUUUUGUAAUAUUAAAUAAUAUGACUAAUUAAUAUUACCGUGCGAACCAAACACAGGAAUUUCACAUUCUUAGUAAUAGGAUGAAUAGGAAUAAGAUUCUCAGAUAUCUUUUAUUCCUAGUAAUCUUUCAUAAUGCGAACCAAACGCACCCUUAAGUUAAAAUUAUGAGUACUAAGUAAA